UCCCUGGUGGCUCAGAUGGUAAAGAAUCUGCCUCCAAUGCAGGAGACCCAGGUUCGAUCCCUGGGUUGGGAA
Molecule: transfer RNA, 72 nt
Filed under: Ovis aries (sheep)
Lineage: Eukaryota; Metazoa; Chordata; Mammalia; Artiodactyla; Bovidae
Also listed under: 2 other names
Rfam family: tRNA
About the family: Transfer RNA (tRNA) molecules are approximately 80 nucleotides in length. Their secondary structure includes four short double-helical elements and three loops (D, anti-codon, and T loops).
Source: Rfam by way of RNAcentral